Molecule: ribosomal RNA, 468 nt
Filed under: uncultured bacterium
Lineage: Bacteria
Description: partial 16S ribosomal RNA
Rfam family: Bacterial small subunit ribosomal RNA
Source: RNAcentral
GACGAACGCUGGCGGCGUGCUUAACACAUGCAAGUCGAACGGAAAGGCCCUGCUUUUGUGGGGUGCUCGAGUGGCGAACGGGUGAGUAACACGUGAGUAACCUGCCCUUGACUUUGGGAUAACUUCAGGAAACUGGGGCUAAUACCGGAUAGGAGCUCCUGCUGCAUGGUGGGGGUUGGAAAGUUUCGGCGGUUGGGGAUGGACUCGCGGCUUAUCAGCUUGUUGGUGGGGUAGUGGCUUACCAAGGCUUUGACGGGUAGCCGGCCUGAGAGGGUGACCGGCCACAUUGGGACUGAGAUACGGCCCAGACUCCUACGGGAGGCAGCAGUGGGGAAUAUUGCACAAUGGGCGGAAGCCUGAUGCAGCAACGCCGCGUGCGGGAUGACGGCCUUCGGGUUGUAAACCGCUUUCGCCUGUGACGAAGCGUGAGUGACGGUAAUGAGUAAAGAAGCACCGGCUAACUACGUA